GUUUAACCCUAAAGCCUAAAAUUAGUUUCCGUCAUAAAGCCAUCACAAUAUUAGAAUAAUUUGGUAUAUUAUUUUUGAUACCAAGAAAUGGGGUCUGGACAGGGAAACGUAGACAUUUGCCUAAUAAUGAGAAUUGCCGCUUGGCUUUGUUGCGCCGUAGCCCUCGGCCUUAAUAUUGCAAGCACAACAGAUAGCCACCUUGCCUUGAGAAUAAGCCUUGUAUCAAACUCCCUUGCCUACUCGGUUUCAACUUAUAUUUUUAUAAUUGCAUUUUUUUUUCUUUUUGCUCUUAUAUUUAAAGCUGAUGUUGAGGAAAAGCUUCACCUGAUUGCGUUAAUUUGUGGAUUUUUGUGGACUGUUGGAGCUGGAAUUGGUGUAAUUCUUUACCAUAUAGAUUAUAAAAUCCAUACUCUACAACUAGUCGGAGGUAUUUUGGCAAUGGUAGCUGGAGUUGUGAUGCUCAUUGAUGCACUACACAUUUCUCAUGUAUUUUAAAUAACUGGACGUAGUUUAUUAUUUUGUUAUUAAAAAUUUAAGGUUGUUAAUUUUUCAAAAUUUAAUAGAUUGCCCUUUGAAUAAAAUCUCCACAUAAA
Long non-coding RNA from Anthonomus grandis grandis, 593 nucleotides. RefSeq lists it as uncharacterized. The record is from RefSeq and is a predicted model, not a curated record. Lineage: Eukaryota; Metazoa; Arthropoda; Insecta; Coleoptera; Curculionidae. The transcript has 3 exons.